This 506-nucleotide ribosomal RNA is filed under the name uncultured bacterium. Its description in RNAcentral is "partial 16S ribosomal RNA". It matches the Rfam family "Bacterial small subunit ribosomal RNA", at positions 29 to 523 of the family's 1533-position model. The record is from RNAcentral.
AUUGAACGCUGGCGGCAGGCCUAACACAUGCACGUCGAACGGCAGCACAGAAGAGCUUGCCCUUUGGGUGGCGAGUGGCGGACGGGUGAGUAAUGUCUGGGAAACUGCCCGAUGGAGGGGGAUAACUACUGGAAACGGUAGGUAAUACCGCAUAACGUCGCAAGACCAAAGUGGGGGACCUUCGGGCCUCACACCAUCGGAUGUGCCCAGAUGGGAUUAGCUAGUAGGUGGGGUAAUGGCUCACCUAGGCGACGAUCCCUAGCUGGGCUGAGCGGAUGACCAGCCACACUGGAACUGCGACACGGUCCAGACUCCUACGGGAGGCAGCAGUAGGGAAUAGUGCACAAUGGACGCAAGCAUGAUGCAGCCAUGCCGCGUGUAUGAAGAAGGCCUUACGGUUGUAAAGUACUUUCAGAGGUGAGGAAGGCGGUGAAGGUAAUAACCUUGCCGAUUGACGUUACCCGCAGAAGAAGCACCGGCUAACUCCGUGCCAGCAGCCGCGGUAA